GUUGGGUAGGGGAGCGUUCUGUAAGCCUGCGAAGGUGGUCGUGAGGGUUGCUGGAGGUAUCAGAAGUGCGAAUGCUGACAUAAGUAACGAUAAAGCGGGUGAAAAGCCCGCUCGCCGGAAGACCAAGGGUUCCUGUCCAACGUUAAUCGGGGCAGGGUGAGUCGACCCCUAAGGCGAGGCCGAAAGGCGUAGUCGAUGGGAAACGGGUUAAUAUUCCCGUACUUGGUGUUACUGCGAAGGGGGGACGGAGAAGGCUAUGUUGGCCGGGCGACGGUUGUCCCGGUUUAAGCGUGUAGGUGUGUGUUCCAGGUAAAUCCGGUUCACUUUAACACUGAGGCGUGA
This 342-nucleotide ribosomal RNA is filed under the name Salmonella enterica subsp. enterica serovar Infantis. RNAcentral describes it as "bacterial LSU rRNA". It matches the Rfam family "Bacterial large subunit ribosomal RNA", at positions 1223 to 1566 of the family's 2925-position model. Lineage: Bacteria; Pseudomonadati; Pseudomonadota; Gammaproteobacteria; Enterobacterales; Enterobacteriaceae. The record is from RNAcentral.